This 253-nucleotide ribosomal RNA is filed under the name uncultured bacterium. Its description in RNAcentral is "partial 16S ribosomal RNA". It matches the Rfam family "Bacterial small subunit ribosomal RNA", at positions 524 to 776 of the family's 1533-position model. The record is from RNAcentral.
UACAGAGGUCUCGAGCGUUAAUCGGAGUCACUGGGCUUAAAGGGUGCGUAGGCGGGUCUACAAGUGCUUUGUGAAAUCCCAUGGCUUAACCAUGGAACUGCUUGGCAGACUGUAGAUCUUGAGGUCGGUAGAGGCUGCUGGAACUCUAGGUGGAGCGGUGAAAUGCGUAGAUAUCUAGAGGAACGCCGAUGGUGAAGACAGGCAGCUGGGCCGAUUCUGACGCUGAGGCACGAAAGCGUGGGGAGCGAACGGG